This 473-nucleotide long non-coding RNA is filed under the name Brassica rapa (field mustard). RNAcentral describes it as "long non-coding RNA (BRAP_LNC005553)". Lineage: Eukaryota; Viridiplantae; Streptophyta; Magnoliopsida; Brassicales; Brassicaceae. The record is from RNAcentral.
UUUUUCAUAAGAAAAUAUUAAAUUUUGAUUAUAAAUAUACUAUCUGUGAUUAAUUAUUUUCCAUAAUUUUAGUUAGUAAUACUUUAACAAAUGUCUUUAAAUGAAAAUUGAUUCUUUUUUUGAAACAAAUAAUUUUUUGAAACAUCUAUUUUUAUAACGGAGAGGGAGUACUGAUUUAAACUACUAAAUUGUUGUGUACUUUCUUUCCCUUAGUUUGAGAUAUUCUGUCUACGGAAUCAUGAACAUCAUCUUUAACAAAAGGUUUAGUUCCAAUUUAAAUAUUAGUUUAUCUAUGUUAAUUAGUGUAGAGGUAGUUAAGGGGUGAUUAGAGUUAACCUUCUUCCUCGUGUAUUUUCUCCAUGCUCUUAUAAAAGCUGAAGUGAGGAACUUUCUCGAUCUUCUCUCUCCGACAAAGCUCUCUUGUCUUUUCGGACUCAUCACCCAUGACGAGCAAGAAGUCGACGUCGUUACAU